UACGAAGGGUGCAAGCGUUGUUCGGAAUUAUUGGGCGUAAAGGGCGCGUAGGCGGACCUUUAAGUCAGUGGUGAAAUCUUACGGCUUAACCGUAAAAGUGCCAUUGAAACUGGAGGUCUAGAGUGUUUUAGAGGAGGGUGGUAUUCCUAGUGUAGAGGUGAAAUUCGUAGAUAUUAGGAGGAACACCGGAGGCGAAGGCGGCCCUCUGGAGAACUACUGACGCUGAUGCGCGAAAGCGUGGGGAUCAAAC
Molecule: ribosomal RNA, 250 nt
Filed under: uncultured bacterium
Lineage: Bacteria
Description: partial 16S ribosomal RNA
Rfam family: Bacterial small subunit ribosomal RNA
Source: RNAcentral